GUGGGGAAUUUUGGACAAUGGGGGAAACCCUGAUCCAGCGACGCCGCGUGAAGGAUGACGGCCUUCGGGUUGUAAACUUCUUUUGGAGGGGACGAAUAAAUUGACGGUACCCUCAGAAAAAGCCACGGCUAACUACGUGCCAGCAGCCGCGGUAAUACGUAGGUGGCGAGCGUUACUCGGAAUUACUAGGCGUAAAGCGUAUGUAGGCGGUUGUAUAAGUCUAUGGUGAAAUUUCCUGGCUCAACUGGGAAGGGACAUAGAUACUGUAUGGCUUGAGUGUUGGAGGGGGAGACGGAAUUCCUGGUGUAGCGGUGAAAUGCGUAGAUAUCAGGAGGAACACCGAUGGCGAAAGCAGUCUCCUGGCCAAAUACUGACGCUGAGGUACGAAAGCUAGGGUAGCAAACAGGAUUAGAAACCCUGGUAGUCC
This 427-nucleotide ribosomal RNA is filed under the name uncultured bacterium. RNAcentral's name for it is "partial 16S ribosomal RNA". It matches the Rfam family "Bacterial small subunit ribosomal RNA", at positions 354 to 796 of the family's 1533-position model. The record is from RNAcentral.